GAACGGUUGGCUCAGUUGGCAGAGCGCUCGGUUGGAACCUGAGAGGUCGCGGGUUCGAGUCCCGCAUCGUUUA
Non-coding RNA from Leptidea sinapis, 73 nucleotides. NCBI's taxonomy places the organism in Eukaryota, Metazoa, Arthropoda, Insecta, Lepidoptera, Pieridae. The record is from the annotation of a RefSeq genome assembly.